RNA transcript from Lemur catta (Ring-tailed lemur), 926 nucleotides. It is a transcript of the gene named SPC25 component of NDC80 kinetochore complex, with no coding region annotated. The record is from RefSeq and is a predicted model, not a curated record. The transcript is spliced from 10 exons. NCBI's taxonomy places the organism in Eukaryota, Metazoa, Chordata, Mammalia, Primates, Lemuridae.
AUCGGAAAGUUGGCGGGGCCGCGGGAGCUGGGUCUGGAGACCUGCUGUUGGCCGGAGGUGGCACAGAUCUAGUGUGGGGAAGGCGGCGGGGCUCAGGCCUGCCUGCGAAGCAUUGUCUUCAUAAUGGUAGAGGACGAGCUGGUGCUAUUCGAUAAAACCAUAAAUGAAUUUUGGAAUAAAUUCAAAAAUACUGACACUUCCUGUCAUAUGGUGGGGCUCAGAGAUACCUACAAGGACUCCAUCAAAGCAUUUGCAGAAAAGCUGUCUGUGAAAUUAAAGGAAGAAGAACGAAUGAUUGAGAUGUGUCUGGAAUAUCAAAAUCAGAUCCGCAGGCAGAAUAUACUCAUUCAAGAAAAAAAAGAUAACUUGUUAAAGUUGAUGGCUGAAGUAAAAGGCAAAAAGCAGGAAUUGGAAGUACUGACUGCAAAUAUCCAGGAUCUGAAGGAAGAGUAUUCUAGGAAGAAGGAAACUAUUUCUACGGCUAGCAAAGCUAAUGCAGAGAGGUUGAAAAGGCUGCAGAAAUCUGCAGACUUGUAUAAAGAUCGACUUGGACUAGAAAUUCGAAAAAUUUAUGGUGAUAAGUUGCAGUUUAUAUUCACUAAUAUUGACCCUAAACAUCCUGAGAGCCCAUUUAUGUUUUCCUUGCACCUAAAUGAAGCAAGGGAGUAUGAAGUGUCAGAUAGUGCUCCUCACCUUGAAUGCCUGGCAGAAUUUCAGGAGAAUGUUUGAUGAAGAAUGGGCAGCCGUGUAGGACUGUGAUUGGACAAAGAGUGAGAAGGUAGUAGGAGGCAUCUGCGUGUCUUGCGUUAGCAAGAAGAAGUUCUGAAGGAUCUUGUAAGCCUGCAAGUUGGAGAAAUGAGGAUUGGGGAUGAGAGAAGAAAUGGCAACUAGGCAAGCUGGAAGUAGCAGCUGAGGAUAAGAUCUAA